This 253-nucleotide ribosomal RNA is filed under the name uncultured bacterium. RNAcentral's name for it is "partial 16S ribosomal RNA". It matches the Rfam family "Bacterial small subunit ribosomal RNA", at positions 524 to 776 of the family's 1533-position model. The record is from RNAcentral.
UACGUAGGGUGCGAGCGUUAAUCGGAAUUACUGGGCGUAAAGCGUGCGCAGGCGGUUUUGCAAGCCGGAUGUGAAAUCCCCGGGCUUAACCUGGGAAUGGCAUUUGGGACUGCAAGGCUGGAGUGCGGCAGAGGAGACUGGAAUUCCUGGUGUAGCAGUGAAAUGCGUAGAUAUCAGGAGGAACACCGAUGGCGAAGUCAGGUCUCUGGGCUGACACUGACGCUCAUGCACGAAAGCGUGGGGAGCAAACAGG